This 274-nucleotide long non-coding RNA is filed under the name Capsicum annuum. RNAcentral describes it as "long non-coding RNA (CANN_LNC018545)". The record is from RNAcentral. Lineage: Eukaryota; Viridiplantae; Streptophyta; Magnoliopsida; Solanales; Solanaceae.
GGGUCGACUUUGAAUUUUUUUUUUUAGAUAAAGGUUAGAUUUAAUUAUAUUAUUGUAAUAUUUCUAUUAGUUUGUUAUUUUGUGGUAGUUUACAGUUCGUAGAUAAAUUUCGUUCGACUUUUAGAAUUUUUUUUGUGUAAAUUUAAGUUUAAUUGUAUUGUUUUGGUAUCACUUUUAUCGUAUUAUUUUUUUGCAGUUUACAAGUGAUAGAUAAAUGUUGGUUGACUUUGAGGAAUUUUUUUAUGUAAAAGUUAGGUUUAGUUGUAUUAUUUAG